This 356-nucleotide unclassified non-coding RNA is filed under the name soil metagenome. RNAcentral's name for it is "partial contains 5.8S ribosomal RNA, internal transcribed spacer 2, and large subunit ribosomal RNA". The stretch from base 1 to 120 matches the Rfam family "5.8S ribosomal RNA", at positions 35 to 154 of the family's 154-position model. The record is from RNAcentral.
GAUGAAGAACGCAGCGAAACGCGAUAGUUAAUGUGAAUUGCAGAAUUCAGUGAAUCAUCGAGUCUUUGAACGCACAUUGCGCCCCCUGGUAUUCCGGGGGGCAUGCCUGUCCGAGCGUCAUUGCUGCCCAUCAAGCGCGGCUUGUGUGUUGGGCCGCCGUCCGCCUUCCCCCCCGGGGGGAGGGGGACGGGCCCGAAAGGCAGCGGCGGCACCGCGUCCGGUCCUCGAGCGUAUGGGGCUCUGUCACCCGCUCUGGAGGCCCGGCCGGCGCCCGCCGACCCCCAACCUUCUUCUAACCAGGUUGACCUCGGAUCAGGUAGGGAUACCCGCUGAACUUAAGCAUAUCAAGCGGAGGA